CCAGAGAACUUUCCAGAGAUGGAUUGGUGCCUUCGGGGAACUCUGAGACAGGUGCUGCAUGGCUGUCGUCAGCUCGUGUUGUGAAAUGUUGGGUUAAGUCCCGCAACGAGCGCAACCCUUAUCCUUUGUUGCCAGCGGUUAGGCCGGGAACUCAAGGGAGACUGCCAGUGAUAAACUGGAGGAAGGUGGGGAUGACGUCAAGUCAUCAUGGCCCUUACGAGUAGGGCUACACACGUGCUACAAUGGCGCAUACAAAGAGAAGCGACCUCGCGAGAGCAAGCGGACCUCAUAAAGUGCGUCGUAGUCCGGAUUGGAGUCUGCAACUCGACUCCAUGAAGUCGGAAUCGCUAGUAAUCGUGGAUCAGAAUGCCACGGUGAAUACGUUCCCGGGCCUUGUACACACCGCCCGUCACACCAUGGGAGUGGGUUGCAAAAGAAGUAGGUAGCUUAACCUUCGGGAGGGCGCUUACCACUUUGUGAUUCAUGACUGGGGUGAAGUCGUAACAAGGUAAGCGUAGUGCU
RNAcentral lists this ribosomal RNA (522 nucleotides) under uncultured bacterium. RNAcentral's name for it is "bacterial SSU rRNA". It matches the Rfam family "Bacterial small subunit ribosomal RNA", at positions 988 to 1509 of the family's 1533-position model. The record is from RNAcentral.